UACGUAGGGUGCAAGCGUUGUCCGGAAUCAUUGGGCGUAAAGAGCGUGUAGGCGGUCCGGUAAGUCCGCUGUGAAAGUCGGGGGCUCAACCCUCGAAUGCCGGUGGAUACUGUCGGGCUAGAGUGCGGAAGAGGCGAGUGGAAUUCCUGGUGUAGCGGUGAAAUGCGCAGAUAUCAGGAGGAACACCUAUUGCGAAGGCAGCUCGCUGGGACGUAACUGACGCUGAGACGCGAAAGCGUGGGGAGCAAACAGG
RNAcentral lists this ribosomal RNA (253 nucleotides) under uncultured bacterium. RNAcentral describes it as "partial 16S ribosomal RNA". It matches the Rfam family "Bacterial small subunit ribosomal RNA", at positions 524 to 776 of the family's 1533-position model. The record is from RNAcentral.